AUUCCCCUAGUAACUGCGAGUGAAGCGGGAAAAGCUCAAAUUUAAAAUCUGGUGGCUUUGCCAUCCGAGUUGUAAUCUGGAGAAGCGUUUUCUGUGUUGGACCGUGUACAAGUCUCUUGGAAUAGAGCGUCAUAGAGGGUGAGAAUCCCGUCUUUGACACGGACUACCAAUGCUUUGUGAUACGCUCUCGAAGAGUCGAGUUGUUUGGGAAUGCAGCUCUAAAUGGGUGGUAAAUUCCAUCUAAAGCUAAAUAUUGGCGAGAGACCGAUAGCGAACAAGUACCGUGAGGGAAAGAUGAAAAGCACUUUGGAAAGAGAGUUAAACAGUACGUGAAAUUGUUGAAAGGGAAACGCUUGAAGUCAGUCGUGUCUUGUGGGACUCAGCCUUGCUUUUGCAUGGUGUAUUUCCUAUUUGACAGGCCAACAUCGAUUUUGACCGGCGGAUAAAGGUUUGAGGAAUGUGGCACCUCCGGGUGUGUUAUAGCCUCUUGCUGCAUACGUCGAUUGGGAUCGAGGACCGCAUUUUUUGGAUGUUGGCAUAAUGGCUUUAAGCGACCCGUCUUGAAACACGGACCAAGGAGUCUAACAUGCCUGCGAGUGUUAGGGUGGAAAACCCUUGCGCGUAAUGAAAGUGAAAGUUGGGACCUUUGUCAUGAAGGGCACCGACGCCCGGCCUUGAGCUUCUGUGACGGUGCCGCGGUAGAGCAUGUAUGUUGGGACCCGAAAGAUGGUGAACUAUGCCUGAAUAGGGUGAAGCCAGAGGAAACUCUGGUGGAGGCUCGUAGCGAUUCUGACGUGCAAAUCGAUCGUCAAAUUUGGGUAUAGGGGCGAAAGACUAAUCGAACCAUCUAGUAGCUGGU
This 859-nucleotide ribosomal RNA is filed under the name Hymenochaetales sp. SHW-2019a. Its description in RNAcentral is "partial large subunit ribosomal RNA". It matches the Rfam family "Eukaryotic large subunit ribosomal RNA", at positions 74 to 955 of the family's 3401-position model. Lineage: Eukaryota; Fungi; Basidiomycota; Agaricomycetes; Hymenochaetales. The record is from RNAcentral.